CUCUAACUCCUGUCUUCCCUGCCUUCCUUCAAAACUCAGGGCAGUAGGUCUCUGGAUGCUUGUGGGGAUUAACAAAAUGUGGUAGCAAGAAGAAGGUCUUGUGAUCAAGGUCAUGGGGACUUCAAGGUAUGGAGGGGAUGUGACAGGCUUUCCAGCAACCAGACACAAGAAAUGAAAUUCUGAAGCGCUUAGCUCUUGAUGACACUGAUUCAAUACAAGAUUUGGUUACCCUACAGGGCUUUGGAACAUUUGUCAUAUGGGCAGCCCAUGGGAUGUGACAGGAAAGAAGGUAAAAGGAGACCCAGAAAUAGGAGCCAAGUACUGAAUUCCCCACCUCAGCCCUAUCCUACUUAUGCUUCUUAAUAACAUCAUGUGAGAAGAUUCAUGCCUCGGAUGCCUACCUCAGGAAGUCCCAUUCUCUUAGAUACAGAAACAUCUGUGCAUUUUCCUACAUUUACUCUAAUAUGUCUCCGGUCACACGUCCCCUGGCAUCUUCUCCACUCCCACACCCAGUGUAGGCAUUGUUUGGACAGUUUCUGUUUCCCUGACAAAUAGAGAGAUCUAAAUGAAAGUCUUCAACUCUUUCAUUGAGGACCUUUCUGUAUGGAUAUCAUGAUUUACAUAAAUAUACCCUAUAACAGAAUCUUUCUCUGAUGCUUUACUGUGGCUUAGAGAUUAUCUUAGGUUCUUGAAGGCUAUAGUAGUGGGGUACAAGGAGAAAUGCCUUCAGGUAUGAGCCAUACAUCUAUCUUUUAAGGACCAGCCUAGCCAAAUGUGAGGUGGCUCAA
Molecule: non-coding RNA, 788 nt
Organism: Phascolarctos cinereus (koala)
Lineage: Eukaryota; Metazoa; Chordata; Mammalia; Diprotodontia; Phascolarctidae
Source: RefSeq, a predicted model, not a curated record